This 486-nucleotide ribosomal RNA is filed under the name uncultured bacterium. RNAcentral's name for it is "bacterial SSU rRNA". It matches the Rfam family "Bacterial small subunit ribosomal RNA", at positions 28 to 518 of the family's 1533-position model. The record is from RNAcentral.
GACGAACGCUGGCGGCGUGCCUAACACAUGCAAGUCGAGCGGAGAUACAUUGAAGAGCAAUCAGAUAUGUAUCUUAGCGGCGGACGGGUGAGUAACGCGUGGGCAACCUGCCUCAUACUGGGGGAUAACACAGGGAAACUUGUGCUAAUACCGCAUAAUAUCAUUAUAGGGCAUCCUGUGAUGAUCAAAGGAGCAAUCCGGUGUGAGAUGGGCCCGCGUCCAAUUAGCUAGUUGGUGGGGUAACGGCCCACCAAGGCGACGAUUGGUAGCCGAACUGAGAGGUUGAUCGGCCACAUUGGGACUGAGACACGGCCCAGACUCCUACGGGAGGCAGCAGUGGGGAAUAUUGCGCAAUGGGGGAAACCCUGACGCAGCAACGCCGCGUGAAGGAUGAAGGUCUUCGGAUUGUAAACUUCUUUGAUGAGGGACGAACACAAUGACGGUACCUCAAAACAAGCCACGGCUAACUACGUGCCAGCAGCCGAC